AUGAACGCUGGCGGCGUGCUUAACACAUGCAAGUCGCACGAAGCACUUUAACCUGAUUCUUCGGAUGAAGGUUUUUGUGACUGAGUGGCGGACGGGUGAGUAACGCGUGGGUAACCUGCCUCAUACAGGGUGAUAACAGUUAGAAAUGACUGCUAAUACCGCAUAAGACCACAGAGCCGCAUGGCUCGGUGGGAAAAACUCCGGUGGUAUGAGAUGGACCCGCGUCUGAUUAGGUAGUUGGUGGGGUAACGGCCUACCAAGCCAACGAUCAGUAGCCGACCUGAGAGGGUGACCGGCCACAUUGGGACUGAGACACGGCCCAAACUCCUACGGGAGGCAGCAGUGGGGAAUAUUGCACAAUGGGGGAAACCCUGAUGCAGCGACGCCGCGUGAGCGAAGAAGUAUUUCGGUAUGUAAAGCUCUAUCAGCAGGGAAGAAAAUGACGGUACCUGACUAAGAAGCACCGGCUAAAUACGUG
Molecule: ribosomal RNA, 478 nt
Filed under: uncultured bacterium
Lineage: Bacteria
Description: partial 16S ribosomal RNA
Rfam family: Bacterial small subunit ribosomal RNA
Source: RNAcentral